UGACCUAGUGGCGGAUGGGUGAGUAACGCGUGAGCAACCUACCUUUCAGAGGGGGAUAACGUAUGGAAACGUACGCUAAUACCGCAUAAGAUAGUACUACCGCAUGGUACAGCAAUUAAAGGAGCAAUCCGCUAUGAGAUGGGCCCGCGGCGCAUUAGCUAGUUGGUGAGGUAACGGCUCACCAAGGCGACGAUGCGUAGCCGACCUGAGAAGGUAAUCGGCCACAUUGGAACUGAGACACGGUCCAAACUCCUACGGGAGGCAGCAGUGGGGAAUAUUGCACAAUGGGCGAAAGCCUGAUGCAGCAAUGCCGCGUGAGGGAUGAAGGCCUUCGGGUCGUAAACCUCUGUCCUUGGGGAAGAUAAUGACGGUACCCUUGGAGGAAGUCCCGGCUAACUACGUGCCAGCAGCCACGGUAACACGUAGGAGGCAAACGUUAUCCGGAUUCACUGGGCGUAAAGCGCGUGUAGGUGGUUCUGUAAGUAGGGCGUGAAAGCUCCCGGCUCAACUGGGAGAGGCCGUACUAAACUGCAGAGCUAGAGGAUGGUAGAGGGAGGUGGAAUUCCAGGUGUAGUGGUGAAAUGCGCAGAUAUCUGGAGGAACACCAGUGGCGAAGGCGGCCUCCUGGACCAUUCCUGACACUCAGACGCGAAAGCUAGGGUAGCAAACGGAAUUAGAGACUCCGGUAGUCCUAGCCCUAAACGAUGCAGACUAGGCGUCGGCGGUUUAAUCACCGUCGGUGUCCAAGCUAACGCGAUAAGUCUGCCGCCUGAGGACUACGGCCGCAAGGCUAAAACUCAAAGGAAUUGACGGGUCCCCGCACAAGCAGCGGAGCGUGUGGUUUAAUUCGAUGCUCCGCGAAGAACCUUACCUGGGUUUGACAUAACAGUGGUAGAGAAGUGAAAACGGAUCGACCCUUCGGGGAGCUGUUACAGGUGUUGCAUGGCUGUCGUCAGCUCGUGUCGUGAGAUGUUCGGUUAAGUCCGCUAACGAGCGCAACCCGCGCUGUGUGUUACAAGUGUCACACAGUACCGCCGGUAUUAAGUCGGAGGAAGGUGCGGAUGACGUCAAGUCAGCAUGACCUUUAUAUCCAGGGCUACACACACGCUACAAUGGUCAGAACAAUAGGUUGCCAAGCCGCAAGGCGGAGCCAAUCCUCCAAAUCUGGCCUCAGUUCAGAUUGCAGGCUGCAACUCGCCUGCAUGAAGUCGGAGUUGCUAGUAACCGCAGGUCAGCAUACUGCGGUGAAUACGUUCCCGGGGAUUGUACUCACCGCCCGUCAAG
Molecule: ribosomal RNA, 1284 nt
Filed under: uncultured bacterium
Lineage: Bacteria
Description: partial 16S ribosomal RNA
Rfam family: Bacterial small subunit ribosomal RNA
Source: RNAcentral